Oncorhynchus gorbuscha (pink salmon) is the source of this 227-nucleotide long non-coding RNA. RefSeq lists it as uncharacterized. Lineage: Eukaryota; Metazoa; Chordata; Actinopteri; Salmoniformes; Salmonidae. The transcript has 3 exons. The record is from RefSeq and is a predicted model, not a curated record.
GUGUGUGUGUGUGUGUGUGUGUGUGUGUGUGUGUGUGUGUGUGUGUGUGUGUGUGUCUAGGCGAGCUGACGUCUUGUGAUGCCCUGUCAUCUGAUACCCAGAAGAAUGUCCUGUCGGCUCUCCUGAGACUGGGCGCUGUGACCAGGCUGAGAACAGCUGAUAGUGAAUUCAGAGCCAACAAACCAGCCAUCAGUAGAUUAGCAGAUACUCUGGCGGGUAGACUGCCA